UUCCCCCAUCACACCAACUACUUCAACUGAAAGAAAGCUGGAAACUCAGAGGCCAACACUGACAUAAAAUCUAUUUAUAAAAUUCAUGUAAAAGAAUAACAGCAAAUGCAUAGAACAGUUCACAAGCACCAGGAUAAAGGCUAUGGUUCUCAGGACAGACAGAACUCAGGACCACACCUUCCAGUCAGUACAAUGAGGGAUGGCACCGGGGAGGCUCACACCUUGAGCCCAAAGCCCUCUUGAGCUAUCUAGUGGCAAUCACAACAAAGAAAAGAAACAGCAAUUGCUACAAAACAUGCAUAAAUAUAGAGCUGAAGACCUUGGCUCAGUGAAGCAAAAUGACAUACCCCUAACUCUCAGCUGGUCAGGGACUGCCAAACCCCAAACCCCAGAUCCUCCUCUCUCCAGGACUGCAGCAUGUGCCAGACCCUGAACACCUCACUUUCAUCCAGUGUGGACACUGUUUUGAAAAUGAGCCAUCUAGACAACUGUCUAUCACUCUAAAGGUGAUGGGACCUGGGAGAAUGGAGCUGACAAAGGAGGUGAGCUAAAGCCUCACGCAACAACCAACUUAUUCAGAGCAUCCGACAACUUAUACUCUGAGAGUUAAGGGAGUCACUUGAGUAAAGUGGACAAUCACAAAGGCAAGCCUCAGACAAGCCGCCCAUGUUUUUCC
Molecule: non-coding RNA, 676 nt
Organism: Peromyscus maniculatus bairdii (prairie deer mouse)
Lineage: Eukaryota; Metazoa; Chordata; Mammalia; Rodentia; Cricetidae
Source: RefSeq, a predicted model, not a curated record